This is a long non-coding RNA of Megalobrama amblycephala (Wuchang bream), 2185 nucleotides long. RefSeq lists it as uncharacterized. The transcript is spliced from 3 exons. NCBI's taxonomy places the organism in Eukaryota, Metazoa, Chordata, Actinopteri, Cypriniformes, Xenocyprididae. The record is from RefSeq and is a predicted model, not a curated record.
GAGCGCACUAAAGCGGGUCGGUGGGUUUAUAACAAUUCAGUGAGAGUGCUUGUAAUUUAAUUAAUCUAAAAACUUGGAUGUAAGAGAGUCACUAAAUCAAUGUGGUCUUUGCCUGGUCUAGGUAAAUAUUAAGGGUUUUUUCGGUCCUAGUUCAUAGUUUUAGGAGCAUGUUGCUUGAUUCAUUUGAAGGGCUGACUCUCUCAGCAGCAUCUGUUACUGCUGAUGAGAUGAGUCAUUGGAUGGGAAGUUCACAUCUGCAGUUUUCCACCAGCAGAGGAGGAAAGCACAACACAGGAUUAUAUCUCAAAUAAACGUAAUUAAACGACUAGUGGUAUACUGCUUUUGAUCAGUUCAGCAUCUUCUGGUUUAAAUUCUGGUUUAAAAUCUGGUUCAAAUAAUUGAUUCUAAGUACAUUAUAUUUUCAGCAAGGAAGCAUUAAAUUGCUCAUAAGUGACAGUGAAAGCGUUUAUUGAAAUAGAAAUAGAAUUUAUUUGAAAUAGAAGUUUUUUGUAACAUUAUGAAUGUCUUAACACACAAUUUAAUUAGUCCUUGCUGAUUCAGCAUUCAUCACAUGUUCAGCUUUGCAUCACAAUAAUAAAUUACAUUUGAAAAUAUAUUCAAAUAGAAAACAGUUAUUUCAAAUUGUGAUAACAUUUCACAAUAUUAGUAUUACAGGUGAGGUGCCCUCUCCGCUUCCUCCAGAUCAACAGAGAACUACACACCUGCAGUUCAUCACACACACUAUUUAACCAGGCACACACACACACACACACACACACACACACACACACACACACACACACACACAACAUUGCAAAGUCUUGAUUUGCUAAGGUGGUCAAUUCUGAGCGUUUCUUUUGUGGACUUUGUGGACUGUGUUUGAUCUUGGACUGUUUACUGUUGUUUGAUUCUCUGCUGGAUUGUGAUUGCAAGCCGCCUGCCCAUGAUCUUUUGGACUGUGUAUGUUUGCCGCAUGCCUUGACCCAAGCCUGUCCCUGUUUACGAUUCUGUUUUGCCUUCUCUAUUGACACUGCUGUGUCUCGACACUGUACUGUUUGACUCUGACCAAAAUAAAGCUGUAUUUUUCAUCACAUAAAUGCAGCAUUGGUCAUUCAUGCUGCAUCGAGAAUUGCCAUAGUAAUUCAUAUCAUCGACAUGCAGGGAAAAAUGGGGCAAUGUCAUACGUUUUUGUUUAAAAAACAGCGUGCACAAGAUGGCACCUGUGAGCUUCGGUGAUGCGAGUGUGUGCAUGUUUACUUGGCGGAAACCCCUGCAGAAGGGCCAGGACACAUGCCCACGAUGGAGUCGAGGGAGGGAGAAGCCAUGGGAGAGCCUCUGCAGGCGAGACCAGGGAGAUACUAGGACGGUGUAGGUUCAACGGCCUUGGGUGGAGCUGAAAUUGGCUCUUUUUAAUCUCUCUCUAUUUAACCCACCUCUGGUAUGUGAUGCUGAAGUCUCACAUGAGUUUCUAAAGGUUUUUUUGUAUUCUUUUCACUGUUCUGAACAUUGAUAUUAUGAAAUCUGAUCAGAUGUUGUUGGCUACUAAUUGGUCAUCAUGGCCUGAUUCACUCUUCCUUGUCUAAUCUCCGAUUAAUUAUUUAAUAUUGUGUUAGUUAUUAAUUUCACAUUGUUUAUUGUAGCCCUACAAUACUACUGCAUAAAAUCCUGCAAUGCUUUGAUAUUUUGAAAGAUUUUAUAAAGUCAUUAUGCAGUAAAUAUUUUGACAGAUUCAUGUAGACAUCAAGAAUCAGCAUAUAAAUCUCAGUAAUGGUGACAGUCGAAAAAAUAUUCAGAACAGAUCAACUCUGAACAUCACAAAACAAGCUUUUUGUUGAUUGUCAGCAUUGUUGAGAUUCAUACGCUGUUUCUUGAUGUCUCUGUGCAUCUAAAAGGCACAGCUCAAAACAUUUUCUGUAUAAUGACUUUCAAAAAAAAUCAGAAUAUCUGUUUGUCACAACACUGAUGCCUUAUCACGAGACUGAUGUAAAUAAUGUGAAAUUAGAGUUAAUAUACUCAGAGAUUUCUACAUGAUGAUUAUAUCACGAAUAAGUAGACCAACUAAAGCAAACACUGAUCUCCAUAACGGUGGCAUUAAACUUUACUAUUUUCAAUAAAACAUCAACAUCUAAACCUCUGUUAAUUCUCAAUAAGAACUUUUGUGUGAAAUAAAUAAAGUCAAACCGAA